AGAGCGAACGCUGGCGGCAUGCUUAACACAUGCAAGUCGCACGGUUCGGGGGUAACUCCGGGCAGUGGCGGACGGGUGAGUAACGCGUAGGUAUCUAUCCUUGGGUGGGGGACAACCGUGGGAAACUACGGCUAAUACCGCAUGAUGACCGAGGUCCAAAGCCCGCAAGGGUGCCUGGGGAGGAGCCUGCGUACGAUUAGCUAGUUGGUGGGGUAACUGCCUACCAAGGCGACGAUCGGUAGCUGGUCUGAGAGGAUGAUCAGCCACACUGGGAUUGAGAACGGCCCAGACUCCUACGGGGGGCAGCAGUGAGGAAUUUCGUCAAUGGGGGAAACCCUGAACGAGCAACGCCGCGUGCAGGAAGACACUUUUCGGAGCGUAAACUGCUUUUCUCGGGACGAGUAAGGACGGUACCCGAGGAAUCGAGCCCCGGCUAACUACGUGCCAGCAGCCGC
RNAcentral lists this ribosomal RNA (455 nucleotides) under uncultured bacterium. RNAcentral's name for it is "SSU rRNA". It matches the Rfam family "Bacterial small subunit ribosomal RNA", at positions 26 to 518 of the family's 1533-position model. The record is from RNAcentral.